Molecule: ribosomal RNA, 250 nt
Filed under: uncultured bacterium
Lineage: Bacteria
Description: partial 16S ribosomal RNA
Rfam family: Bacterial small subunit ribosomal RNA
Source: RNAcentral
UACGUAGGUGGCAAGCGUUGUCCGGAUUUAUUGGGCGUAAAGCGCACGCAGGCGGUUGGAUAAGCGAGAUGUGAAAGCCCCCGGCUCAACCGGGGAGGGUCAUUGGAAACUGGGAGACUUGAGUGCAGAAGAGGAGAGUGGAAUUCCAUGUGUAGCGGUGAAAUGCGUAGAUAUAUGGAGGAACACCAGUGGCGAAGGCGGCUCUCUGGUCUGUAACUGACGCUGAGGCUCGAAAGCGUGGGGAGCAAAC